GCAUCGGUGGUUCAGUGGUAGAAUACUCGCCUGCCACGCAGGCGACCCAGGUUCGAUUCCCGGCCGAUGCA
Ancylostoma ceylanicum is the source of this 71-nucleotide transfer RNA. It matches the Rfam family "tRNA". Rfam says of the family: Transfer RNA (tRNA) molecules are approximately 80 nucleotides in length. Their secondary structure includes four short double-helical elements and three loops (D, anti-codon, and T loops). The record is from Rfam. NCBI's taxonomy places the organism in Eukaryota, Metazoa, Nematoda, Chromadorea, Rhabditida, Ancylostomatidae.